Molecule: long non-coding RNA, 409 nt
Filed under: Musa acuminata (dwarf banana)
Lineage: Eukaryota; Viridiplantae; Streptophyta; Magnoliopsida; Zingiberales; Musaceae
Description: long non-coding RNA (MACU_LNC006773)
Source: RNAcentral
CAUCGAGACCACCGUCAUCACCACCACAGCGCGCGCUCUCCCAACGGUCACUCCUCCCUCUUCUUUGCCGCUUUGAGCACCGCACUUUCUCUUACUCUGUCCUAAACGGUUCUUUCUCUCUGUUUUCGAUUCCAUCUGCUCCGCCUCAUUCAUUUGCGAGAUCUAAGACAGGAUGGAGACGGCGAAGGUGCAGCACGUGAGCAAGGCGUCGUCCGACGAGCUCCUCCGCAAGUUCGCCGAGCUCGACGACGGAACCCCGGCCGGCCCCUCCGCCCUCCUCCGCCCUCCUCCGCCACGCCUCUCCUCUCGUCACCAGGAAGAGAUCCAGGCGCACCGUCUCCGCCGGCGACGAGGCCGUUAGGGCAAGGAGGCGGAGGAAGAGCAAGGGCGGGCUGGCGGACCGGAAGUC